UUUAUGGCUGUUGUUGGAGCGGCAGAAAAGAGCUGUAUAGAGAGACGCUGCUCCCAAGCACUGAAACAUGCUCGGUGCGUGCUGAUCAUUGCCUGCAGCUGUUUUAAAUGCAGCCAACUCCAUAGCUCCCACAGAGCCGAGGGGAGGGAAGCAAAUGCACGCUCAGGUGCAGUGGUCUGAAAGCCAGAACUGACAACGAGCCUGGCAGCGGGAAGAAGCGAUCCGCUCGCACGUGAAUUAAUUGAAAGCAGGGAUUAUAUCCUCCGGCGGAGGGUUACCAGCCUCUCGCGCUCGGCCACAACGCAUAACGUAACUGAAAGCUGCUGAUGCGUCUGAGGGGAGCAUUUUGUCAAGGGCUCUCCGAUUGGCCGAAGGGACCCUGCAAUGGUUUGUCGGGAAGAGCCGAGCCUCCUGAUUGGUUGCGUUGCACCUGCAAUGCGUCAAGUAAUGAUGCCCGAAAGUAAAUGUGCUGGGGCUUGGCUUUCCUGUGAAUGGCUGCCGCGCAGCGGCGGGGGAGUAGUGCCCUUCGCACGCGGGAGCUGGCUGCAGAGUGGCGCGCGCGGGGGGCAGAGGCUCGGUGCGCGCUUUUGUUGGGAGGAUGCGCGUGCAGAUCCAGCAAGCAGCCGUAGUAGCCUGCGUUGGAGCUGCCGCUUCCUGGUCUGAUACUUGCAGCGGUGGCGGGGACUGGGCUCAGGCGAAUCAUCAGAAUCCUGUUGUUGAAAGGUGAGUCAGCAACAAGUCUGUGAACACAAGUAGAGCCUGAGUUCUGUUCAAAUGGAUUUGACUGAGACUCACAGUUCUGUGGUUGAUCCUACACAAGGAAUGGAGAAGGGCAGAACCCAUGAACUCCUCUUGAGGUACUGAAGAAUUGGUGCUGUAAAUGGAGCAGUGAAGUGAAGUAAUGAGGUGCCUGCUGAUAGAAGAGGAUUUAAGGCCUCAUUGGGGAGAAGAGUCUGUGAUGGCUGCUGCAUCUGAGAGGAAGACAGAUCCUGGGAGAAGGCCUGAGACAGCUGUAGCAGAGAAUGGGUAAAGGGAGACACCAAACAUACAGACAGAAGAAUAAGACAGAAGAAUAAUUCAGAAGGAAGGAAUGGUCCUACUUUCCUGCAGGAAACCAGGUAAAGUGCCAGGCUCUGUCAUAGAAUCAUAG
This is a long non-coding RNA of Chrysemys picta bellii (western painted turtle), 1150 nucleotides long. RefSeq lists it as uncharacterized. NCBI's taxonomy places the organism in Eukaryota, Metazoa, Chordata, Testudines, Emydidae. The record is from RefSeq and is a predicted model, not a curated record.